CCGUGGGGGCUUCGGCCCCCUCGAGAUAGAACCCUUGCCUUUUUCGAGUACCUUCGUUUUCCUCGGCAGGCUCGCCUGCCAAUGGGGACCCCAACAAACCCUUUGUAAUGCCUGCAAUCGUCUGACAAAACAAGCAAAAAUCA
Molecule: unclassified non-coding RNA, 143 nt
Filed under: uncultured Preussia
Lineage: Eukaryota; Fungi; Ascomycota; Dothideomycetes; Pleosporales; Sporormiaceae
Description: sequence contains ITS1
Source: RNAcentral